This 21606-nucleotide long non-coding RNA is filed under the name Ananas comosus (pineapple). RNAcentral's name for it is "long non-coding RNA (ACOM_LNC020300)". The record is from RNAcentral. Lineage: Eukaryota; Viridiplantae; Streptophyta; Magnoliopsida; Poales; Bromeliaceae.
AAAUUUAUAAAGAGUACUUUUUAAAGCAUGUAAUUUUUUUUAGGGGCAAUUGCCUAUAUACCCCUGAAAAGUUUCCGGUUUUCUUAUAUACCCCUCUUAGAAGGCUAAUAUUGAAAAUAUCCUUCUCAUGUUCCAAGUCUUUCUAAUAUGCCCCUGGAGUUAAGCUCCGUUAGUGAGCUGCCGUUAUCUCUGUAAAAUUACCAUUUUGCCCAUUCCAAUAUACCCUUCUACCGUAACUAACUUUUCUUAUAUACCCUUUAUAUAGCAAAUAUUUUUCUUAUUUGCCCUUCAAAUAUAAAUUAAUUAAUUAAGCACGUCGAGAUUGAUCGCAGUUAAACCAACUUUGGUAGCUGGAGGCAUAGUUAGUUAAUUCGGAUUCGGCAAAAAUUCAGUAGUGAUAUAAUUUGGAUAAAAUUCGUCUUUUAAUUUUUAAAUUCGUUAGUUAAUUCGGAUUCGGCAAAAAUUCGGUAGGGAUAUAAUUCGGAUAAAAUUCGUCUUUUAAUUUUUAAAUUCGUUGAAAAAUACGGCUAAAAAACGGAUUCGGCAGUUAUUCGGAUACGUGAUUUAUACAGGUAUUAUACGUUCACCAAUUAAAAAUUCGGGAUCAAAUAUCAAUUUUAUAUAUAAAUUUUAAAAAUUCGGUAUUAUACUAUAUAUAUUAUUUUUAUAAUAUUUAAUAAUAGAUUAAAUAUAUUUAAAAUUAUAAUAAACUUAUAUUAAUAAUAUAUAAGAGUUAUAUAUUUAAAAAUAUUAAUAAAUAAUUACAAAUUUAUAAAUAAAAUAUUAUAUAAUAAUAUUUCUAUAUAAAAAUAAAAUACUAUAUGAAUAAAUCUAUUAGUUAUUAUUAUUAUUAUUAUUAUCAGAAAACAUGACAGUUGAUUUACAGGAACAUAGUUAUUAAAUAAUUAAGCGCUAAUUACUUAAUAAUUGUCAUUAGUGACAUGAUGAUAUGUACAGCUAAUAGGGGUGGUUUAGACUUUAGAUCGAGCACCUGGGGGGCGACGAUGUGGCGCAAAUGCAAGGAGACCUGGCCCUCGUCCCCAUCCUCGUGCGCGUGCCUGUGCGCGUGGCCGUGGGCGUGGCCGUGGUGGUGGUGGCUGUGGCCGUGCGCCGCCGCGUGCGCGCGCAUCCUGACGAUGUGCACCGCGUUGCCGCCCUUGGCGAAGCCCUCGUUCUCGUCCUCGUCCACGGGUGGCUCCAGCGCCGCCGUGGUGAUGGAGCGCCCCUCGUCGUCCUCUGCCGUGGCGUCGGUCUCGGCGGUGGCGGCGGCGCGGUGCUUGCGCUCGUAGAACUGGGUGACGAGGAAGUCGAGGACGAGGGUGGCGAGGGCGGCGGCCAUGGCGACGAAGCCGGAGAAGGGGAAGCGGAGGAGGCAGGGGUCAGUGAGUGCGGCCUCGACGUCGUGGAGCAUGUGGACGAAGCCCGUGGUGAGGAUGAUGCCUGCGGCGAAGGUCUUGGCGAGGGCGAAGAACCCGCUCUCCGUGCUCAGGAGGCGCCGCCGCUUCCGCCCCGCCGGCAGCGGGAGCCGGCGACAUGGAGGCGGAGGAGCCGGCGAUCAAGUUGGGACUUUGGGAGAGAAAGAGGAUAACUUAAGGAAUUGGCAUAAUAAGUUAGGGGUAAAAUAGGUAUUUUAUAUAGGUUUUAACUCUAGUAUACAUUUAACUCAUGUUUAACUCGAGUUAAGCUAACAGGGGAUAACUGCGGGGGUGUUUUGGAAUAACGGUGGAACAUAUGAGGGGCAUUUUAGAAAGAAAAAAAAAGUAGGGGUAGAUCGGAUAUUUCCGAACGCAUGAGGGGUAUAUAGGUAAUUAUCCCUUUUUUAAUAUAGUUAUUCCAACUAAAAAUUCUUAAUUAUUUCUCUUUGUUUGGCACUCCGUUUGUCUAUUACUGAUUACAUUUUAAUUUCUAAAACUCAAAAUUUUUAUUCUCUUGUCUUGUAAUUUAGAUUUAACAACAAUAUUAUUGUAAUCAAUCACCAUUUUUAAUUAUUCACAUAAAUAUUAAGCAUGAUUACGUCACGUAAGCAUGUAGAAGGAAAGGUUUUAGCCAAUGAUAAUGACUUGUCAACUACCAAUGGAUGGUCCUUUAGAUUCUUUUAGUUACUAACGUUAAGCAUAAUAAUUGUCCUAAUAGCAGUAGUACUUCUUGUUGUCAUUGGAUUAUUGUCCUAGUGUUAUUAUAUUGUCUCGCAAAAAAAAUUAAGCAUUUGCAUGCUCUUCUUUUAACUCUCUACCUUUUAAAAACUUUGAAGGCUCCACAAUAACACAUAAUAUAUAUAUAAUCAAGAAUAAUCGGUGCCAACUGUUCCAACAAUUACCUGAUAAAUUUCGAAAAAUAUUAAGUCUACAGCCCAUUUUGCGUUACAAUCUAUACAACCCUUCGCCCCGGUGUUAUCCAUACAAAUAAAUUAAUUGACAGUUUCUUCUGUACACGUGUCCACUCCUCCUUUCUUCUGUUCUCUCUUCAUCUCUUCUCUCUCCUCCCUCCCAUACCAAAUAUGAAUUUUAUGAUUACAUCUUAGGAAGAUAUCAAAUCUUUCCAAAUCCACCUCGAGAAGGUACCAAAUCUAUACAAUGAUUACACCUUGGAAAGGUACUAAAUCUUUCCAAAUCUACCUCGACAAGGUACCAAAUCUAUCCAAUGAUUACACCUCGGGAAGGUAAUAAAUCUUUCCAAAUCCACCUCGGAAAGAUACCAAAUCUAUCCAAUUUUUUUUUUUUUGACAAAAUUCUCAUUUCCUUAUCUCGGGAAGGGACAAUUCUCAACUUGAUUCGGGUGUGUAUAUAGGAGAACCUAUACUCAUGAGGUUAGAACCUUGAAAAAAUUUUCUAGUUGCCUCUUCUUCCUCUGUUCCUCAUGCACUAAACUUCACUCUCUUUAUACUAAGUUUUAUAUUUCUUUUGUAUUUUUUCCUGGAUCUCUGCGAGCUACUUGGGUUUAUGUUGUACCAUCCUGAAGACGUGCCGACGAGGUGGAAGGUGAUCGUUGUAUCGCUAGAAGUGUUUGACGGAACCUAUACAAAUAAACUAAUUGACAGUUCCUUCUGUAUACGUGUCCACUCCUCCUUUUUCCUCUUCUCUCUUCAUCUCUUCUCUCUCCUCCUUCCCAUACCAAAUAUGAAUUUCAUGAUUACACCUCGGGAAGAUACCAAAUCUUUCCAAAUCCACCUCGGGAAGGUACCAAAUCUAUGCAAUGAUUACACCUCGAAAAGGUACCAAAUCUUUUCAAAUCCACCUCGAGAAGGUACCAAAUCUAUCAAAUGAUUACACCUCGGAAAUGUUACAAAUCUUUCCAAAUCCAUCUCGGGAAUGUACCAAAUCUAUCCAAAUUUUUUUUGACAAAAUUCUCAUUUCCUUAUCUCAGGAAGGGACAAAAUUCUCAACUUGAUUCGGGUGUAUAUAUAGGAGAACCUAUACUCAUGAGGUUAGAACCUUGAAAAAUUUUUCUAAUUGCUUAUUCUUCCUCUGUCCCUCAUGCACUAUACUUCACUUCUCUUUACACUAAGUUUUACAUUUCUUUUAUAUUUUUUACUGGAUCUCUGAGAGCUACUUGGGUUUAUGUUGUACCACCCUGAAGAUGUGUUGACGAGGUGGAAGGUGGUCGUUGUAUCGUUAGGAGUGAUUGGCGGAACCUAUACAAAUAAACUAAUUGACAGUUCAUUCUAUACACGUGUCCGCUCCUCCUUUCUGCAACUCCUCCUUUCUCCUCUUUUCUCUUCAUCUUUCCUCUCUCCUCCCUCCUAUACCAAAUAAAUAUGAAAUUCAUGAUUACACCUUGGGAAGGUACCAAAUCUUUCCAAAUCCAUCUCGGAAAGGUACCAAAUCUAUGCAAUGAUUACACCUCAGAAAGGUACCAAAUCUUUUCAAAUCCACCUCGACAAGGUACCAAAUCUAUCCAAUAAUUACACCUCAGGAAGGUACCAAAUCUUUCCACAUCCACCUCGGAAAGGUACCAAAUUAACUAUCCAAAUUUGUUUCGACAAAAUUCUCAUUUCUUUACCUCGGCAAGGGACAAAAUCGUCAACUUGAUUCAGAUGUGUAUAUAGAGAACCUAUAUUCUCAUGAGGUCAGGAUCUUGAAAAAAUUUUCUAAUUGUUUUUUCUUCCUCUGUCCUAUGCACUAAACUUCACCUCUUUACACUAAGUUUCACAUUUCUUUUGUAUUUUUUUACUAGAUCUUUGAGAGCUACUUGGGUUUGUAUUGUACCAUCCUGAAGACGUGCCGACGAUGUGGAAGGUGGUUGUUGUAUCGCUAGGAGUGAUUGUUGGAACUUCGCACGCAGAGGGGCAAUCUUGCUUCUAGGUCAGUGUUUUUGCACACUUCGAUUCAAAGGCCUCAUCUUAACCUCUUUUCUCUAUAAUAUUUUCUACUUAAUCCGUCCUUAUAAUUUUUCGAAAACAAAAGUUAAAAUUAUUUUCUUUUAGAAUUGUUUAAAAACUAAAUUGUUCACGCUAAGUAUAUGUUUGUAUAUUAGUGUUAAAACUAUCUACGGUGAAGCGCGGGUUCAACACUAGUAACUACUCUUCUAGGGUUUAGUCAACCAUUUUUGGGUUUUUAGCAUAAAAGAGAGAGAGAGUGAGUGACAAGACUAGUGUAAAAUUUAUGACUUUUGGAUGAGUGUUAAUAAUAUUACAAUCUAAAGGUGGUUGUAAAGGUAGCAUUGCUUAUUUCCUUUUAAUAUUUCUAUGUUAAACUUCAUGCUUAUUUUUCUAUUUGAAUUAAAACUAUCAUAGAAAGAUACACUUAGAAAUGCUAUAUAGAUCCAUAUUAGUAGAAAACAAUGAUAUAAAUGAUAUGAAGCAAAUGAAAUCAACCAAGAGGAUUAAUUGCAUCCCUAUUAAUUCUUUAUCUCUCUCUCUCUCUCAUUAUUUGGGUGUCAUGGUAUUGAUUAGAAAUAGGCAUAGAGACAAUUAAGUCCAUAUGAGGGACCACACCAUUGGUCCAUUGCCCAAUUUGAUUAAUAGGUAGGGGCACAUGGAUGCUAUAUUAUUUUUUUUUUAAAGUGUAGCCCACUAUUUAUAUUGCUGAGCUUUGGUUUUCAUUAAGGUUUGGUUAGGAGAAUGAGUGAUUACAUAGCAAAACCAACAAUUUGAGUUGAAGUUGAAUCAAAUAAGAUGAUGAUCUAUUCAAAUUGGUUGACAUUUGAAGCUGUUUUAUUGAAAAACAAUAAAUAAGGUUGAGGAUUCUAUUUCUGUUCAAUUACAAAACUUUUCAAUUGAGAAAAAGUUCUCGUUGGAUCUUCCUUGCUUGUUAGAGAUAUCAAAUUAAUCGACAACCCUUACUUGAAAUCGAUCCCCUCAUCUAGGGCUCAAACCUGUGAAUCGUAAGAGCUAACCAGCUAUUUCAAAAGCACGCCAACAAUCCCCCUAUUGUCAUGUAAUUAGCUGUCACAAAAGCACCCGAGCAGUCCCUGGCUAUUGUCACCGGACAAGAAGUUGGAUUUAUUUUAGCAAAUAAUAAAUAGCAAACAAUCUCCCUUCAAACAUUUGUACCGUUAAUGUAGGCAUAUGGGAAUCAAACCAACGUCACUGGCUCCGAUACCACUUAUAGAUUGUAAGAGCUAACCCAAUAUCUCAAAAGCACGUACUAAUAGAAAGGUCGUAUCCAUCACAUUUAAGAGCUCUUUAACCUGACUCAACCCGCUAAAUCGUUAGGUCUAUUGUUGGAUUUCUUGCCGUUAGGUCUAUUUUUGACCAAUGCCUCACUCUACUUAUUAGGUUCAUCCAACUCAACUUAUUAAUCUAUAGGGUCUAUUGUCACGCGACAGAAAAUUAAACCUAUUUUAACUAAUAAUAAAUAGCCAAUAGAACCCUCUUGGAUGUCCUACCAAUGGAAUACCGAUAGUCCGAUAGAAAAAUGCAUAAAUACAUUCAUAUACGUACACGAAGAAUUUGCAGAUCGAAGAAGUUUCUAAUUGUAUAAGAUAACUUAGUUAAACUAUAUGAAACAAUCAUUAUUUUUUAAAACGUAAGCUAUGAAGGAUAGUAUUUUUAUAUUUAUAUUCAACAAAUUUGUAGUAUAAGAGCAAACCCUUUUUAUUCCAAACGAAAUUAGGUUAAUUAACUUCAUACUGCAUGGUUAAUUAGAAUCUAGAAUAAAACCAAUUUGAUUCCAUUUAAAAGAAAAACCCACAAAACCGAACCGAAUCGACCUGAUUUUAUGUAACACCCAAACAAUUCCUCAUCGGAUGGAAAUAGAGUUCAAAUUAGGAAUAUAAGAGGCCAGGCAUCCUAGCGAUAAUAACUGAAAUUAAGAUAUUUUGGGUCGAUGGUUUGGCCCAACAAAUAUUGCUAGCGGGAUUAUUAUUGCUAGCUGGUCAGAUCGUUACAUCUCAUUUGUAUUUUCUCUCCUUAACUUGUGAUUGUAGGCCCCAAUGUUCUAUCUUUUGAUGGAUGAGGAGUGGUUGGCAUUCAUUUAACUGGGAUCCACUUCUACCCUAAUUCUCUUGUUUAGUGUUUGGGAGGUGACCUCAUCAUCAUCAUGUCUUUCUCCAACUUUUCAAUUGAGUCAUCAUCUCUAGGGUUUUAAUCAUAAGGUUUUGUAUUGUAUUGUAUUGUAGGUUUUUGUAUUGCAUUAUUGAAUGUCAUGAUAUGAAAACCCUAACAAAUUCUUCAAAUGUUGAAUCAAAGUAGACAAAGUCUUAGAUGUUUGUAUUGAAUUUUAUAGAUGGAUAAAAAUUAGGGAAAAAACACAAUGUACAAAGACCUCCGAACUGCAGCGCUUUUGUAAACAGACGUUCGAACUUUUAAUUUUAGUCGUUAGAUUACCUAAAUUUUGUCUAAUAACAUUGAAAGUUUGUCCAAUAACUUAAUAGCACUCCCCCAUCCCAUAAACUUUUAAUUUUGGUUGUUAGAUUACCUAAACUUUGUCCAAUAAUUAAUUUUGGUUGUUAGAAUCCAUCUUCAUAUUUUAUUUUUUAUUUCUCUGGUAUUAUAACAAAAGAAAUAGUUUUUUUUUUUGUACAUUUUUUAGCCCAAAAUAACUUAUCUUUUAAAACUUAAAAAAAAAAGACAUCUAAAAUCCAAUUUCACAGAAGCAAGCAAAAAAAAUGCAAAUUAAAAAAAAAAAAAAAAAAAGUCAAGUGGGUCACAAGCAUUCUACUGAGCCGAGAGAGACAAUUCUCUAAUGAUGAAAAAAGGGAAUUUUUUUUUCCCUCAUUUCCCUGCUGAUAUUACAUUAAUUGGCCACUUACUAAUCCAAAGAAUUAUUACUGAUACAUCUGAAAACAAAAACAAAAAAACAAAAAAAACAAAAAAAAAUCUAUCCAACAGUACCUAGUUUUUUUUCUCUUUUUUUUUUUUCCUUUUUUUGUCAACUCCUAUGAAAAAUCUAGGGUUGACAAAGAGGAGGCUAAAAUGUGUUAUACUGCUACAGUUAUUCACCCUUUUUGUCUUCCCCCUCUAUUUUCCUUUCUCUGUAUUGUAAAUGUUGUGUGUUACAAAAACUGUACAGAAUCAAUGUCAGAAACAAACAGGUCACAACUAGCCUUUUCUCUGGCUGUCAGCUACCCUAGGGUUUCGUUCGACGACGAAAUGGUCGAUAAUCCGCACCGAGUUGACGGGGUCGGGACCCGAGGCCGCCUUCCACUUGCUCGGGAACCUUCGGAAGUGGCUCAGCUGCAAAGGUUGCUUCGGUUCCGCGUCCCAGUCGGGGUCUAACUUCCACUCUUUCGGUACCUGAUUCAAUGAAAGGAGUAUAAAAGUCGAGCUCGCGUGCAAGGAUAAUAUAAACACAAACCAUCAGAAAUAUAUUUAAAAUUUCCGGGUGUAAUGGGAAAAACCAUGAUAAAUAGGCUGAGGAAAAGGGCGAAAUCUCCGUAGUGGAUCGCUACGCAAGUUGGUGCUCGAGAUACCUUAGGUUAAACAAUGUAGCGAGAAAUUUAUCUAAGAUUUCGAAGUACUAUGAAUUGUUUAAGGGAUCGAUAGUGGCGUAGUCGAAAAUAAGAGUUAAAUGAAGGGAGGAAAAAAAAACAUGAAAUCCGUAGGACAACCCAAGUUAUAGUAAUGAUUUGAUAAUAUGUUGUAAGGUGGCCGCCCAGUUCAAAUCCUAAGGGGGUGUUUGGUUCCUCGGAAAAGCGUGGAAAACUGUAUUCCCAGAAAACACCCUUUUCCACAGUUUUUGUUUUUCAGAUUAAAAAAUUGGGAAAAGAAAACAGUAGUUUUCCAUGAAAUCUAGAGAAAGAUCUUUUUCUUGGAACGGAACCAAACAGACGGAAACCAGUUUUCCAGCCAGAGAAUUAUUUUUUGGGCCAUUUUCCGGAGAACCAAACAGCCCCUAAUCGAAAGCCAUGUACUCAGCAAGUGGAUAUUUGGUACUUGGUUUAUAAGAUUAUAUGCAUAAAUAAGGCGGGACUAAAAUCUAAAUAAUCUCUUUCUUCAGAUUAAGGGGUAAAAAAAAAGGCUAGAAAAAGAGAUUUAUUUCUUACUUUAUCGACUGCAAGGCUAAAAACCUCGAGGUCGCCAUUUUUAGUGAUAUGGAAGCGCGUGAAAGCCUUGUAAUUCGCGAUGCGGAGGGAGGAGAAGGCUUCAUCGAAAUGAACGUGGAACCAGUUGAUGCAGAUGUACAAAUAGCUUCCGAAAACAAGCGAUACGAUGGGAGUAGAGAAGACCCAGAAAUAGGUGAAAACAGAGGCAUAGUAAAUUAUGGCGCCGCCGCGAGGGAGUGAUUCGAUCCCUCUCUUGCAGAUUUGGCUUCUCGUUACAGCCAUAACCUGCAAGCGAAAGAAGCAUUUAUAAAAUAUUUGACAAGAAAACUUAUGUUGCGGCUUCUACGUGUAUAUAUCUGCAAAAAAAUGCACACAUCUAAAGCUGGGGAGUCAUACAAUUCAUGGGCUCAUAUUUGGAAGAGAUUAUAUGAAAAUUCGACAGAUAUUAAAAUGCUAAUGCGCAUGUGUAACCAUCUCUAAAGAAUAUGGCCAAAAUGUAAAAAUGACACCAAAAAAACUAUGCCGUGUUAAAGGGUCGUCACCUCGGGAAUGUCGAAUGCCGACAUGAGGUACUUAAUACAUGCAGGGUAGAGUCCGAACGUCCACUGCUCGAUCCGAGCCCUAAGGCCAGUUGGAUCCGGAAAGUGUUGGCUUUCCAUCGACCGAUACCAUUCAUAAAGAGUGUGAUAGCCUGAAAAUACAUACAGAUAUUAAAAUGCAGAGAUAUUAACAUAUACACUAACAAAUCUAAACAUUUACAUUAAUAUCGGAUUAACUGGUGGUUCCAAUACAAUAGCGCCUAAAAAAAAUUUUGCUUGUACAGUUGAAAUCAACCUUAAAUUGUAUGAUGGCAAGAAAUGAGCUAGAAAGAAAAGAAACAAACCUGAAGUCGCUAAUAGGUGAUUCCGGAUACAUAUCUCAAUACCCAAUUCCAGUAGCAGCAUCAAGAUUAGUGCUGAGGUCAGAUGCGCCACACCAUGCAGGACCCCAAUUAUAGCACGCUUUUUCCGCGAUAGUUUUGUGGGAACGAAGAAAAACGACGCCAUUAUCAAUACGAGAACACCAGCUAGAGAGACGUAAGAACGUUCUAGAAUGUAGAGGAAAGCGCCCCACAUCAUGCUAAAGAAGCCCUUGAGGCGGAUGGACCAACUAUCGUCAUGCAAUAUGUCGAAAAGAUCGCACUGAAUGAUAAAACACCCGAAAGUUAAAAGAGUCCUCAAAAUGUUAAUAUCCUCAUCAAUCUAGAAUCUUGACGUAGUACGACAUACGCACAAUAUAAAAUACAAAGAAUAAAACCAACUUUCUCAAUAACUUUAAUCUUAUCACGAAACUUGCAUACUUAAAAUUACAGGAGAACAAUUUAGAAAGCAUUAUAAUGCGUGUAAUGUGAAUAUAUAACUCAACUAGCUCUAAAGGUGUCUCACCUGUGGAAACAUAGAAAAGACCAGGACAAAGUAUAUAAUGCCGCCAAUGAUAUCAAAUUGCCAGUUUUUUCUUCGAAACUUCAAUAUGUUACCCAAUGCUAUCUGGAAAAGAAAAAUUUAUUAGUUGUAAAAAAGCUUAAAAAGAACGAUAUUCCAGGAUUUACAUAUAUGCCAUGCAAAAAAUGUAUAUUAUAUAACAUGUGAAGCUAAAUUUGACAAGCGAGAAAUCGAUAAAAGACCAAGAUGGGUCAACUAUGAUAAGUAAAAAUGAGAAGAAUUUAAAAAAAAGAAAAAUCAACCAUACCCUGCCAGAAUCCUCAAAAGAGGGAUAAGUAGCCUUGCUUUCGUAAGAAUUUCCAUAGAAUUUCUUGAAACCUCUGAACACAUGGGUCGGAUGCAAAAAGGCUCCGCCACAACCAUUAACAAGUAAAUGCUGGACGUGAACAGGUUCUCUUGAUGAUGAAACGCAAGCUUGCUGGACGUGAACAGGUUCUCUCGAUGAUGAAACGCAAGAAUGGCGCAUGUAAUGGUGCAAGUCCCCGGCCAUUCUAAGUUUGCAUCUUCCUUUAAGAUAAUCGCGUAUAAGAUAUGAGACAUUUUUUCCAGUAUCAUCACCCCAAUACCAAUCGAGAAGCCAAUUCGGUUCAUGGGUCAUAACAAUAACUGAAUCGUUUUCUCUGACCUGCAUGAAAUAAUUUUAUCUCCAUAAGGAUUGCAUAAGAAUGUUUAGUAAGAGGAUGUGCUCCGGAAGAGUCUCCUUCAAAUAUCAAACGAUUUUCUAUUUUGCCACCAUAAAAAAAUGAAGCCUAUAUAUUACCCUCUUAAACUAUAUGUAUAUAUUUUUAUCACUUUGCCUCCCUUUGUUAGGCAAUAUAUAUCUCUAUGCUUAUAUAUCAAUGGCAUAAAAUGAGAAGAAUAGUGAAUACAGUAUCAGGUAAUCUGCAUUUUACGAUCGCUAAAAGUAAUCCUCACCAGCCAACUACACAUACCUUAGUAUUUGGAACUUAGAAACCUUGAAGCUAUUGGUGUUCAGUGAUAAUGACAUAAAAAAGGGUCAAAGGCAUUUAGGGUAUGUUUGUUUCUCUUGAAGUGGGGUGCUCGAAGUGGAACUGGGAUGAAACAAGCAAGUUCCAUUAUUUGGUUCAUCUAGAACUCAUGAGAUCAAGCCGAUGUGCACCUCACUUCUGCACUUUUGAAUUGCUUUAAUAUUAGCCCGAAGUUGUGAGUUUGCUCGAACUCCUACCCCCAGAAAGUAGGGACUUAACGGAGCUCGUGUUUCGUGAUUGCCAAACAUGCCCUUAAUCAAACUAAUAUAGGUAUAUAUUCUUGUAACACCUCUUUUUUUUUUUAUUCCUUGCUAGUUUUCAUAUUUUUGUAGGCCAGUAAAAAAAAAUUCGUUAAGAAUCGUAAAAGAAAAUUGCAAAAUUAUCUGUUACUGAAAAAAAUAAUAAUAAUAAACCUUGUGUUGGCAUAGCUCCACGAAAAAUUUGAAUUGGUACACAUCAAUGUCACCGUGAAGAGCCUGGUCGAGACCAAAUACCCACCACCCUUUUGGGAGCUCCAAUGCAAAAUAACUCUUUUUCUGAGGCAUAAACCACCCACCCAACCAGCUUCUGUGGCAUAUGUACCUCAUAAAAGUGUGAAGCCCAUCAAACCAAUCUGCAGAAAACUAAGCAACUUAAUGACCAUGCAGUCCACAAUAUACAUUGAAAGAAAGAGGGGCGUAGUUUAAAAUUUGGUCGUAGAAUCCCAAUUUCAAUUGCAUCUUCAGAGUUCCAAUUUCAAUUAUUUAGUCUCUGAAGAUUGUUUUUAAGUAAAAUUAGGUCCUUCCAUUAUUUUUCCGUCUAAAAAGCCAUAACGUAAGCAUCAUGAACUCUAUAAAAGAUGCCAACAGUGGCGUAAAUAAAAUUGGAAGUUUGGAACUCAAAAGAUGCAAUUGAUAUGGCGACCAAACUUCCAGGACUAAAUUUGUAAUUAACCCAGAAACUAAAAAAAAAAAAAAAGAAAAAAAAAAGAAAAAAAAAGAUCGAAUACUAAGGCAAGAUCAACUGAUUUUUAGACCCACAAUACUACUAGAAAGGAAUUUUGUCCACGUGCAUCUAAAACGUAAUGAGGUUAUUUUACAUAAGAACAACGACGAACCGUGAUUUCCAGGAAUUAAGAAACACUGGGGCCCGCGAUAUCGUUUCAGCUCCGAGACCCCAAAUGGAAGCUCCGGUUUGUCCACCGCUAUAUGUUCAGCCUUGUACCACGGAGGAGGUUGGAAAGCAUAUUCAAAAGGACAGAAAAAGCGCCUCUCAUACGUAAAUGUAGAAGGAUUAGGGUACCUGUGUGGAGAUUUCAAAAACAUUUUAAACCAUACUUAAGAGUUAUUGCGUGCAUGAUAUCGUCCAUAAAGAUCCUAUUUAUGUAGGUCGAAACUUCGGGAUAUUAUUCUCGAAAAAAAAAAACACACGGUAGAGAUCAUUUAAUAUCAUCAAACUUCUGAGUCCAAAAUUCAAGUAUUUCAUUUCAUUAAUCAAUAAGCCAAAACUUCUCCUCUAAUUAUAAAAAUGGAAGCAUAAGAAAGGGAAAAAGGGGCCACAAUCUAAUUUAAUAUUAACCGACUUUUAUGUAAAAAGACAAAAAUUUCCUCGUAUCAAAUUAUAAGUCACUUUUUUCUGUUAAAUCAACAGGUUCUGUUUUCCCCAAGCUUAAGCUGGAAAAGAUAUAUAUAUAUAUAUAUAUAUAUAUAUAUAUAUAUAUAUAUAUAUAUAUAGGAUUGACCUCCUAUGUGUUUAAAAGUACCAAGCCAUUGGUGCUUGUAAGUUUUCGGCCCUUGGAUUAAGAGAUGUGCGGUUAGGAUGAUGUGGGCCCCCUAGGGUUGAGUGGGUGGUUGGUUGAAUAGUAUAAUCUAACGGAUGAAAAUGAUCAAAGGCAUAGAUCUAACGGUAAAAAAUUCACAAGCACCAAGUGCUUGGUGCUUUUACAAGCACCAUAACCGGACUCUAUAUAUAUAUAUAUAUAUAUAGAGAGAGAGAGAGAGAGAGAGAGAGAGAGAGAGAGUUUAGCAGCUGCAUCUAUAGUCAUUAAAGGUUGAAUAGGCCGAGGAGGCACUUAAUCUUUAGGAUAAAGGAAUGUUAGAUAAGAAUCUUACGCAAGGUCCCCUCCAAUAAGAAGCAAGUCUCCACGUGGGAGCUUUUGCACCGAGUCACCAUUUUUAAUCUGUAAUGAACGUUGUGCCAGUAAUCGGGCCACCGCAUAGGUAGAGUUUCCACCAUCGCCAGUAUCCGCAAUGAAAUCAAACCAAAGUUCGUCUCUGUUUUGAAGAUGAUCGUACAGUAGAUCGCUGUUUUUAGAUUCGUCAGGAACCUUGUUCAUAGCAGCCUGGUUGAUUUGGAUGGAAAAAUGGAAUCAAACAGAUUAUGAAAAAAGCAAAAGCAAAUGAGCAUGAUCACAGACCAUGAUAUAUUUACAUUUGCACCCCUGCGAAAUUAGUGUAACCAUGCAAAAUCUGAAUGUUCAUUACCUUUGAAAACUUAAUUUGUUACAUAUUUAUAACGUUGUACAUGCAAAAAUGCCCCUCUUCUAGAGAACUCUUCUGAUAGCACUAAACCAACUUCCCCCCAUAAAUUAGCCGACUCCCAAUUUAAUGUAAAGGUUUCUUUUGUUUUAAUAAGAAACUGCUCUUUCAAGGGUAUGUAAGAAAAUUCAGAUUUUUACAGGUGUGUAUGCGCAUAAAUAUAUAUACAUAUAUAGAUGAUUUUGCAGGGUAAAAAUUCUAUUUUGUUUAUAUUUAUUAGAUACCUGCAUCAUUCGCAUGUCAAAUCGACCAACAAAUAGAGUCACGGAUACCAUGAGAUCAAACACCGUCUUGAAUAAGUCAGUGGAAGUCCUAAAAUAUGAAAAGGAAAGGAAGCAGUGAAUUCCUAUUGUCGCCUUAAAAUGGAAAAAGAAAAAUAAGAAAAAUAAAUGUAGGCUUAGCCGAUAUUAGCAUACCCCGAAUACCAAGGUACCAUGUCCAAGAAAUCAGGUUUCAUUUGUUUCUUCAACUUCUCGUACUCUGAUAUUGUCAUAGGAUGAGUGAGAGCCCAUCUGUGACAUCGGAAAGGCAAAUAAAGGACAAUUAGAUAACAUAAACUAAAUCCAUUUGAGUAAUAAGCCAAAGAUUUUGCAACCUUUACAUAGAAAUUACGCUAAGAUGAAGGAAACCUCUUACAAAAUAUCGCUUUUUUUUUUUUUGUUUAACGUCGCAACCCAAAACAAAAACAAGAACAAAACCUAUAUAUAAUCCAUAAGUAUAAUUGUCAUUACUUUGCCUCUUUCCAUCAAUCUUCAUCAAGCAAUACAUAACAUAAAAUAAACUCAAAAUGAUGUACGCAUCAUCUUCAACCGUCUCCUCUACAUGAAAUAUUACGUAGUAAAAGAAAGUAGCAUUUAUGUUUAAGAGUUAUAGUGAAUUAACAUACCCAGUUGAUCGUUCGAUGACAUAAUUAGCGAUGUAGAGUCCGAUAAACGUUGCCCACAAUGAAUAUAAAGGUGAUAUUUCAUCUGAAAGGUGAGGACAUGAUCCAUUGCAAGCUAACUGUUGAAAACAAAUAACAAAAAUAAUAAACCCAGAAAUUACGAAAAGAAAAAGAUAUAUAUAAUAUCAUAAGAAAGCUGGAGAAAGUUCGGUAUACCUCCCCAUAGAUGACCCAUUUAGAAAAGAGCGGGUAGUCGCUAGCAGAACCAACCGGCGCAAACCAGGAAGAACAAAUUUGGUCCUUCCACUCGUGCAUUUUAAGGAACUUGGAUAUCCAUAUAUUUCUAUCUUGCUUGUUCCACAAAGGGAAAGAAAACCAAUUUGAGUUUCUUCUAUCAAAGUGCUUCUCUCUUGUGAUAGCUCGGUUACCGCAGUGGCUGUAAAAUACACAGCAUGCUAUACUUAUGACCUGCAUAAUCGCAGGCGUUACACACAGCAGAAAUAUUAGGUACAUAGCGCUUGGUUUAACCUUUUUAGGAGGUUUCAGUUUAGCCCACAACCAUUCGAUAAUCGAUACUUAUUAUCAGGUCACUAAACAUUGCACUCUAUGUGAUCUAAUCCUUGUUGUUUAAUCCCGUGGUUAAAUUGGAUUCGAAUGCUCACAAAAUCAACAUAUGAGAAGUCGAAUAGUUAGAUGAUGAUUACAUGGAUGUGUCUGUCCCAGUUAACAGAGAAAUGAAAUGAAACAGUAAAUAUUGCGAUGAAAUGGAAUAAUUAGGCACCUAAUUUAUUCAUAUAUAUCGAAAGGUUGUAGAACAAACUGAGAUCAAUUUACCCCGAAAAAGGUCACGAACCAACAUCAAUUUGUUGUGUGUUAAGACAACUUUAAGAACUUACUGCACAGUUUUGGAUGAUAGUGAGUAUCUCUGGUCUCUUUUCAGCCAUUCGCGAAACCAGGCCCAAGUACCAAAGCCCGAGAAAUAUAAUGUGGAAAACAAUAAGAAAAAGAAGCGAGGUGAUAUAAAUUGUGAUGAAGAGAGAAAGGUUCAUUCUCAAGUCGACUCCCAUCGACUGAAAACUCGGAAGAUGAUAUAAAGCUGCCAUGAAGAUCCAUGCAAUGUACCUGCAGAACAAAUGAGACUGACACAUUUACCUUGUUUUUGUCCAAUAAAUAUGCCCAUGUAUUAAAAAAAAUUGCCCCCUUUAAGAAACUUAUUCAGAUUCAAAACAGCAUUUCCCUGAAUUAGACGACUCCCGAAGUUUGUGGGUGCUUUUCUAAGAAACUGCACUUUCGAGGGGAUAAAUAGGAGCACCGGAAUAUAUAGUUUUACAUAUUAUUAGAAAAAGAAUAACGUACCAACGGCUGAAGUUAGAAUAACUUGGCUUGAUAGUCUUCCUAAUGAAAGGAGAAGAGAAGAAAUAAAAGAAACCGAUCAGGCAAAUGUACAUGGACCACCACUUGAUGUUUUUGUCCAUUUUUUGUAUGAGGGUGUGCAAAUUAUCCGAUGAAAUGAAAAAGAUCCAUCCUAUUAUAACCGCGGUCAUUGCAUGCCUCGAAUGCUCGUGAGGGUACGGAUAUUGGUGAGCCAAUAUCGUUCGAACUCUAUCCAUUUUGAAGGAUUCAAAUAUAGGACCUAUAGAUUGCUUUUCUGCGCUCAUGGAACUAAAAUUUAAAAACAAGCGUAAUUUAUCGCUGUUUUAACACCUGUGCCUCCACGAGAGAUAUGUUCCAAGGCGUAGUUUGGCUCUGCAUAGAAAGAAGCAAAAUCUUUAGUUUCAGUAUCCUAACCUGCUAAAAUUCAGAAACAUGGAUAACUUAACAAAAGUAGACAGGAAUUGUUGCAGGUUUCUUGGAUCGACAUCUCAGUUAACAAGUUACACUGCGAAUCUCAUAAUCACACUAACAAAAACAGGGAAAAAAAUGUCUCACUGAAACUUUUUUGUGUACCAUAAGAUUAUAUAUAUUGGAAUCUGUUGGAUAUAAAAGUAAAUAUACUGUAGAGAGAAGUUGUUGGGGGUUUCUAAUUCAAUGCAUUACUCAAACCACACUUCAUCAAAAACAAGCCCUAAGUAACCAAUAACCAAAAAAUUGGGAACCCAAACUUACAAUUAAGACUCAAAACCCCGGAAAUAGACAAAUCCCAAGCUCAAGUUUCCAACCAAAGGGGAUUUUAAGCAAAAGGAAUCACAUUGUUUUACGGUCUCGAUCCCACAAGCUCAAUUUUCCAACCAAAGUACAAAAUGAGAAAGAAAGGGGCUUCAAUCAAGACAAAUCCCAAGCACCCCGAACUUCCACUCUUCCACCAAAAAUAUCAUAACACAAUAUAAAAUCACACUUGCAUCACACUAUUAACUCAUCCAUUAAUGAUUUUUAUAUGUACAUAACCCAUUUUUUGUGCAAAACUAAUCACACACCAGAAUUGAACAAGCAAACCAAAUUCCAAUAUCACAUCGCUAAAGAGCACAUAUCCAUGAAUUCAAACACAUUCACAGCCAAAAUUGGUUGGUGGGUACAGAGAAUUUAUGAAAAUUUGCACCAAAAAAUGAUGGAGAAGAAGAAGAAGAAGAAGAAGAAGAGCAAAAUGUCUCAUAACAUCACACAAGCCCACACUCACAAUUCAAUGUUACAUUAAAUUUAAUCUCACAUAGCUAUUGACCACCACUCACCCAUGAAGAAAUUGCAGGUAAAAGAAAAAAAGAAAAAAAGAAAAACCCAACUUAGGGAAAGAUUUACACAAUUCAAUUGUGCUUGUUUGUGCAAAACUACAUCACAUACCCAAAAGACCAGAACCCACCAUCCAUAAUCACACACAGGAACAAGCAUACCAAAAUUCUAAUCACACAUCACAAAACACAUCCAGAGCCAAAAUGGGUUGUCGGGAAGAGAAAUUUAUGAACAAUUUAUGCAGGAAAAGGUCCAAAAAGGGGAACUUUCGAGAGGUUAAUAGAGGAGGAGGAAGAAGAAGAAGAAGAAGAUGUGGGUUCUUCAGGGAGAAUCUAUUCCCAACACACCCAAUAACCCUAAAAACUCCUACCAAAUUGUGUCAUAAACACCACACAAGGUCACACUAACAAUUAAAUGAUACAUCAAAUUUAACCUCAUACAACUACUCACCAUGAACACAAAACCCACAAUUCACAACAACACAUGGGAACAAGCAUAACCAAAUUGUAAUCACACAUUACAAAACACAUCCAGACCCAAAAUGGGUUGUUGAAUACAAAAUUUCUGAACAAUUUUUGGAGGAAUAGGAUCAAAAAAAUGGGAACUUUACCUGAAGAGGGCUUUAUAGAGGAAUAAAAGAGCAAGAAGAAGCAACUAAAUGAUACAUCAAAUUUAACCUUACACAACCAUUAAGAAAUCAGAAAAAAAAAAAAAGCCCACAAUUUGCAACUUAUGGGAACAAGCAUAACCAAAUUGUAAUCACACAUCACAAAACGCAUCCAGAUUGUUGGGUACAAAAAUUUCUGAACAAUUUUCGCAGGAAUAGGAUCAAAAAAAUGGGAACUUUACCUGAAGAAGCGAUUAAAUGAUACAUCAAAUUUAACCUUACACAGCUACUUACCAUGAACUCACCCAUUAAGAAAUCAGGGGAAAAAAAAAAAAAAACCAAAAUUCACAGCAACAAAUAGGACAAAUCCAGGGCCAAAAUGGGUCGCUGGGGACAGAGAAUUUAUGCAAUUUUUUUUGCCAAAAAAUGAUCAAAAAAAGAGGAAAAAGGAGAGGGCUUUACCUGAAGAGGGGUCCCAAAAGAGGAAUGAAACAAGGGAGAAGAGGAGGAGAAGGAGAAGAGUGCGAGGGUUUUUAUUCAGUGGGAAAAGAAAAUGAGAAAACGAGAAAAAUGAGAAAAAAAAGUUGAGAAAUUGGGGAUUCGUUUUCUCGGUUUCUGAUCAACAAUGGGAACAAAUAUGGAAAAUGGGGAAAGAGAGAAAAAAAAAAAAAAAAGUUAAAAAAAAAAAUUAUUAAAAAAAAGAAAAGAAAAAAAGCAUAUGUGGGGAAUCUUCUAAGGAAGUUCCUUGCGGGAAGAAAGCAAAGCAUCAUGCUUAAAAACAAAACAAAAAAAAAGAAAAAAAAAAAAAGAAAAUCAGAAUUUACAUGAAAAAGUAACCGACAGCACGUCACACCCACUUCUGCACCCAAAAGUCUACCUAAGACUUUUUAUUUUUAGAAUUAGGGCUUUCUGCAAAUAUCUGUAGAAAUUUUACAGAGAAUUUUUACUGUGUGCCUUCUUAUUUGGGACUCGAGAUUGUGGCUCUCGGCCUAUGUAUCACGGACACUUUUAUAAGACUCGCGUGUCUGUAUCUUGGACGCGGGUUUAAUGUCGAGUAGUGCAUACAAUUAAAAAAAUAUGCAUGCAUAUUUUGAUUUUACUUUUUUUAUACAUAUAUAAUGUAAGAUUAUAAAUAUUUUAACUUUUUAAUAAAUAUAUAUAAUUUUUUUGACAAUAUAUAAAUAUAUUAUAUAUGAAGGAAAAUUUUUUUCUUAAACUAUAUGAUCUGAAAAUUUUAUUAAUUUUCAUUCAUAUAAAAAAUAUAACAAUAUUUUGCUAAAACUAAUAUUAUAUAUAUAAUAAAUAUAUAUAUUAUUACAUUAAUAAUAUUAUUAUAUUUUAUUAACAUUAUUUGUAUUGUGUUCGUGUUCUAUUUUUUUGAAGGCUGCCGAGUAAUUGUGUCCAAAUUGUGUCGUGUCCUGUGUUACGUGUCAGUAUUCGUGACGUCUUAUCUUCGACAGUGUUCUACAAAGAUGCCUUAUAACUCAAGUUAAUUUGUAAAAUACUAGUCAUAUGUUUGCCCUAGUAAUAUAAUUGUGGCCAAGUAGAUUCAAUCUCCCAUAUGUGUGUAAAAAUGAGAGUCGAAUAAUAGGAUUAGAAUAUUCGAUCUUUUGGGUUAGAAUAAUAUAGGCUUGAGAGUGUUCUAGCAAGAUUUAAAAAAGAAAAAAAAAACACUAUUCGUGGGUGAAUAAGUGGGUGAUUUGAAUUUUACACAAUCUUUUUUCUACUUUUAAGUAUUUUGUAAUUUUUUUUUUUUAACUAACCUAUUAUAUUUUGCCAAUUUAGCACCCACCGCCAUGCCAAUAGAAUAGCUGAAGAAUAUUCCAGAUAUAAUUUGUAGGGAAAACUUCAAAAAAAAAAACCGUGGUUUCGCAGUUUCUCACUUUGCCCCCAUAUAGUUUAAAGUGUAUCGAUUUGGCCCAAUGUGGUUUCAUUUUUAUCUUUUUGGUAGCUUUUUCGUUAAUAUUUCAUUAAAUUAUAUAUAAAAAACUUCAGAUACCCAUCUAGAUUUAUCAAAUAUUCACUUUAGUACCCUUCAAUUUUAACUUUAUCACUGAUUUAAGAAAAAAAAAUAAUGAAAUUGAUAAGAAAAAGAGAAAAAAGAAACCACAGGGGGGCAAAUUGAUAUAUUUUAAACCACAGGGGGGCAAAGUGAGAAACUGCGAAACCACAUGGGGAGUUUUUUGAAGUUUUCCCUAAUUUAUAAGCGUCCCCUAAAAAAAAAAUUACAGAUGAUCCUAACAAAUUUAAAAAAUAUUUACAGAUGAUCCUAACAAAUUUAUCUUUACAUAUCUGACUCCCUCCUUGCCAUGCGAGUAAAAUAUUGGCAAUUUUAAAUUGAACAUAAUGAUUGAAUCACCAUAUUCAUAUUCACACUUUAGUCACUUUUUUUGACUUAUAGAUAAUAAAAAAUACAAAAAGUAAUACGGUGAUCCAAUCACAGUAUUUAAAUUCAUAUUUCAGUUUCUUUUUUUUACUUAACAAUAAAAAAAGAAAUUCGAUGAUUCAAUUGCUGUGUUUAAAUCACCGUGUUCAAUUUAAAAAUGACGCUCGCGUAACAAGAAAAGAGCUAUUUAUGUAAAUAUAAAUUUAUUAGGACCAUUUAUAAAACAAAAGUUUCGAAGGGCUUAAAUACAAAAAAAGCCCUUUACCAGCUCUUCUGCUUUAUUUUUCCAUAGUUUUGAUUUAGAUUGCCCAGUUGCUUGAAACCAGGUCAUUCAUUAAGGGGCUAUUUGAUUGCACGUAGUUAUAAUUGUGUUGUAAUUGUAACUGAAUUCAAAUUUAAUUUUUGAAAAAAAAAUAAAUUAUCUCGCAAGUGAAAUACUUUAUUCUAUCAAAUUAUAGAUGUCAAAACUUUUUCAGAAGCAAAAAAACAAAAAAUAUAUAUAUAGUAGGUCUUGUACGCUAUUAGGAGCACAGAGGCCUCUGUACUCCUAAGCCGUUUUCGAUGAUGGGACUUCCGAAUCGACGAUCGGCACUGUUAGAUUUGAUCUAGAAUAUAUGAACUAUUUAGAAAAUAAUUUCUGCAGAUUUUCGAUAUCAUUUACCUAGUGAUCGAAAGAAUUCGAGAUCAAUAAUUUUUAAUAAUUGAUGUAUGCCGUUUGCAAGUUUAACAGUAUAAAAGUAUUUAAAUCAGAUGAAAUUUUGAUAAAAAAUUCUUUAUGCCAUCUACAACAAGAUCAAUAUCUCUGAUCGAAAAUUUUUAGUGUAACAUCAUAACUUUUUAUGAGAUUUUUAUUUUUAGCCGUUGAUUUUGAGUCCUUUCGAUCACAAGUAAUGAUAUCGAAAAACCGAAAAAUUUAUUUUCUAGAUAGUUCAAAUACACUAGAUCAAGUCUAACAGAACUGAUCGUCAAUUCAGAAGUCCCACCCACGAGCACCUGCACCCGUUGGUGCCCCUCGCUGCCACGUUGAUCCCAACUGAGAAUUCAUAUUAUAUAUAUAUAUAUAUAUAUAUAUAUAUAUAUAGAUAAUAAAAAUAAAAUUUUAAUAUUUUAAUAAAAUUUAUAUUUAUAGCUUAUAGGAAGUUAUAUCAUGUUAAGCACAGUCAAUUUGCAUGACUAAAUUUAGUUGUUAAAAAAAUAAAAUAAUAGCUAGAAGCAUAUGAAAUACAUAAAUAAUAACUUAACGUAUCUGGCUUAAGAAAAUUUUGGUUGGCGUCUCAGACUCCAAUCUCCGCAUCAUACUUUUUAAUCUACGAAAGAAAUUUUGCCCACAACAGUGUCUACUAAAAAAAAUGAUUAUAAUAUGAAAAUAAAACAAAAAACAUCAAUCUUAAAAAAAUUAAUAUUUUUUUAGAGCACUUCUCUUACUCAUUCAAAUCUCAUACAUCUUCUUAAUCUUCAGCUGGUAGUUGCUCCGCGCGCCGAAUCAUUUCUGGAUUUCUAUUGUAACCUAUGAACAAACACCUCAUCUGCAUCACCAAACUGCGAUAUCUAAACCGAUACAGUCUUGCCAUCACAUCAACCACAGAAAUCCUUAUUCUUAAACAAUUUGAUUUACCAAGAAGUUCCUGUGAUUCUUGAGAAGCGCAUGCAACGUCG